Molecule: ribosomal RNA, 468 nt
Filed under: uncultured bacterium
Lineage: Bacteria
Description: partial 16S ribosomal RNA
Rfam family: Bacterial small subunit ribosomal RNA
Source: RNAcentral
GACGAACGCUGGCGGCGUGCUUAACACAUGCAAGUCGAACGGAAAGGCCCUGCUUUUGUGGGGUGCUCGAGUGGCGAACGGGUGAGUAACACGUGAGUAACCUGCCCUUGACUUUGGGAUAACUUCAGGAAACUGGGGCUAAUACCGGAUAGGAGCUCCUGCUGCAUGGUGGGGGUUGGAAAGUUUCGGCGGUUGGGGAUGGACUCGCGGCUUAUCAGCUUGUUGGUGGGGUAGUGGCUUACCAAGGCUUUGACGGGUAGCCGGCCUGAGAGGGUGACCGGCCACAUUGGGACUGAGAUACGGCCCAGACUCCAACGGGAGGCAGCAGUGGGGAAGAGUGCACAAUGGGCGGAAGCCUGAUGCAGCAACGCCGCGUGCGGGAUGACGGCCUUCGGGUUGUAAACCGCUUUCGCCUGUGACGAAGCGUGAGUGACGGUAAUGGGUAAAGAAGCACCGGCUAACUACGUG